Lingula anatina is the source of this 509-nucleotide long non-coding RNA. NCBI's taxonomy places the organism in Eukaryota, Metazoa, Brachiopoda, Lingulata, Lingulida, Lingulidae. The record is from RefSeq and is a predicted model, not a curated record.
UUGAGCUGGUCCCAGGCAGUUCGGUAUAUAUUCCUCGCCCGGACCUUGUUUCUUGUUUCAAACCUGGGAAGGUGAAGAAAGGUAGUGUGCAACAUGGUUUGAGGACGGCUAGGCUGCUGAUGUCAGUUUUCUUCAGCAGAGAAGAACUGGCUAACUGCACUCUAACUAGCUGUACUGAGGGGAAAAAGCAGCUGAAUCCCAGGAUAAUUAAAGCUAUAAUAGACACCUGUUCGCAAAGCAGUCCAGCCACCCCAGGCAAACUGCGGCAGGCCAUAGCCUGCAAAAUUACAGCAUUUUCCUGCAAAGCAAGAAAAACAAAAAGCAGCCCAUGUGAAGACACAGAAGACAAUGAAUGGAUGGGAUAUCUGCCAUGAGAGAACAAUAGGACCAGAUCAGAUCACACUUAUAAGGAGAAGGUUGAUGUACCAAGAAAAAUCAUAUUCACAAUCUGUCUUUUUAAAGUGAAAUUUUGUAUAAAACAGUAUUUAAUAAACGAUAAGAAACUUCAA